This 51-nucleotide small RNA is filed under the name Staphylococcus aureus. RNAcentral describes it as "HMPRFS0000_0763". The record is from RNAcentral. Lineage: Bacteria; Bacillati; Bacillota; Bacilli; Caryophanales; Staphylococcaceae.
ACAUUUAAAGCAUUAGACUAAUUCGUCUCAAUUGAUAGAUCAGGCAUGAGU